This is an RNA transcript of Pan troglodytes (chimpanzee), 2497 nucleotides long. It is a transcript of the gene named immunity related GTPase M, with no coding region annotated. The transcript is spliced from 5 exons. The record is from RefSeq and is marked validated. Lineage: Eukaryota; Metazoa; Chordata; Mammalia; Primates; Hominidae.
AGUAACCUGCUUGGGUCCCCUUCCACGGUGUGGAAGCUUUGUUCUUUUGCACUUUGCAAUAAAUCUUAGGCUGCUCAUUCUUUGGGUCCACACUGCCUUUAUGAGCUGUAACACUCACGGCGAAAGUCUGCAGCAUCACUCCUGAAGCCAGUGAAACAACGAACCCACCGGGAGAAACGAACAACUCCAGACUCGCCACCUCAAGAGCUGUAACACUCACCUCGAAGGUCUGCAGCUUCACUCCCGAGCCAGUGAAACCACGAACCCACCGGAAGGAAGAAACUCUGAACACAUCCAAACGUCAGAAGGAACAAACUCCAGACACGCAGCCUUUAAGAACUGUAACACUCACUGCGAGGGUCCGUGGCUUCCUUCUUGAAGUCAGUGAGAGGAAGAACCCACCAAUUCCGGUAGGAGUAGGGAAUCACAUCACCUUCUUUUAAUCAGUCUCAAAUACCUGGCCCCUUGUGGAACCUGCAAGAGCCAGGUUUGGCGAAUGCAAUGAUAAGCAAUUGUCUAAUCACUGCCUUGAAAAAGAGCAGAGCAUUUGAGUAUGCUGUCUCCUCCUCUCCCUCACUUCAGUUGGGCCCAACAUGACAGUCUUAAUGGAAGCGCGGGCGUCAAAGGCUGGUGGCUUACUUCAUGUAUAUUGCAGCAUUUCGGUACUUCUCUGCACGUGUGCUCCCCCGACUGAUGAGCUUACUCCAGUGCCCACAGAUACGACAGAGUUCCCGAGUGCCCCUCACACUCUAUUAGCUGCAUCCUUAACCUCUUUUUGCCGCACCAUAAGCAUUGGGGUUUUUUUGUUUGUUUUGAGAUGGAGUCUUGGUCUGUUGCCAGGCUGGGGUGCAAUGGCGUGAUCUCAGCUCACUGCAAUAUCUGCCUCCAGGGUUCAAGCGAUUCCCCUGCCUCAGCCUCUUGUAUUAGCUGGGACUACAGACACACACCACCACGCCCAGCUAAUUUUUUUGUAUUUUAGUAGAGACGGUUUCACGAUGUUGGCCAGGAUGGUCUUGAUCUCCUGACCUCGUGAUCUGCUCGCCUCGGCCUUCCAAAGUGCUGGGAUUACAGGCAUGAGCCACGGCGCCUGGCCGGCAUUGGGGUAUUUUCUUGAAGAUGGAAGCCAUGAAUGUUGAGAAAGCCUCAGCAGAUGGGAACUUGCCAGAGGUGAUCUCUAACAUCAAGGAGACUCUGAAGAUAGUGUCCAGGACACCGGUUAACAUCACUACGGCAGGGCACUCUGGCAAUGGGAUGUCUACCUUCAUCAGUGCCCUUCGAAACACAGGACAUGAGGGUAAGGCCUCACCUCCUACUGGGCUGGUAAAAGCUACCCAAAGAUGUGCCUCCUAUUUCUCUUCCCACUUUUCAAAUGUGGUGUUGUGGGACCUGCCUGGCACAGGGUCUGCCACCAAAACCCUGGAGAACUACCUGAUGGAAAUGCAGUUCAACCGGUAUGACUUCAUCAUGGUUGCAUCUGCACAAUUCAGCAUGAAUCAUGUGAUGCUUGCCAAAACCGCUGAGGACAUGGGAAAGAAGUUCUACAUUGUCUGGACCAAGCUGGACCUGGACCUCAGCACAGGUGCCCUCCCAGAAGUGCAGCUACUGCAGAUCAGAGAAAAUGUCCUGGAAAAUCUCCAGAAGGAGCGGAGCUCUAGAAACCAACAAGUGUACCCAAACCACAGCCACGUACCUCUUGCUUGCUGAAAGGAUCCUGAGAGAAAAGCAAGACAAAGAAAUACAGAUCAGCUCCACAAGCCCUAGAAAUAGCAAGGCCCAGCUCAGCUGGCCUGCCAUGAGAAAUACCUCAAGAGUACUCCAGAGAAUUCCACAAGGCCCAGAAAUAUGUUGCAAGCCCACUCCCUACUUUGCUUUUCUUAUUGCACUGGCUAAAUUCACCAGUGUAAUGUUAACUAGAAAGAGUCAAGUAAAUAUUCUUGCCUUUUUCCAGCCAUUAAAUAUGGUGUUUCCUGUAGGUUUUUUAUCUAUGCCCUUUAACUAUUUGAGGAGGCUGCCCUUUAUUCCCAGUUUACUUAAAGGUUUAUUAUUUUUUCAAUCUACAAUACAUUUUUUUGAGACAGGGUCUCAUUCUGUCACCCAGGCUGGAGUGCAGUGGUGCAAUCACUGCAGCCUUGAGCUCCUGGGGUCAAGGUGUCCUCCCACCUUGUCCUCUUAAAGUAUGGGGAUUACAGACGUGAGCCACAAUUUUCUUGUUUUGUUGUUCCUAUUUUGUGUGUUUUCCUAUUUCUUCAUCUUCUUUUAUUUUUAUCAUGUCCUUUUUAUUUUUUGGAGUUAGAUCACAGCGUUUUUUUAUUCUAACCUAUUGAGACUGUUGCUUAGGUAUUUUCAGGCUUUCUUUUUGCCUGAUCUAUACUUACUGCUAUACAUUGUCCUCUAUUAUAGGUUUAGGCAGAGUAAAUUUUGUGAAUGGUAUGCAGUAAAUUUGUUUUUUCUUUGUUUUACCCAUUUGGAUAACUGAGCCAGAGGCAUUACUGAAAAG